UCAGCGCCCACGUGCUAUAAAACCGGGAACGUAUGCGCUUUUUGAGGUGUGUCGCUUGACUAAUCGUAGCGCCGUUAACGCGCUGUCGUCAUUUCCCCAGAACUAAAUUGGAGCACGCGAGCUGAGACGUGACUCAAGUACUGGUUUUGAACCAAUGCUCCUUGCUGCGGGGCCACCUGAGGGGGUUCGUAGAAGUACAUAAACACUGGAGAAGCUGUGGUAACCGGACACGCUUACCGAAUAGUUUUUGUUCCCUGCAUUGACACGUACUACUCGUAUCAGUGGUUGAAACCCAAAUCCCUUCAGUCCGUAAGUAGUUUUUUUCAUAUAAUAUAGUGGGGUAAGGGGAGUGUGUUUUAAUAGUGUAACGCUCUCUUUCUUGCUUUUUAGGUUAAGUGAAGGUCCAUAAACUGCACUAUAGUCGCCUUUUUGCUUUAAUGGUUGCAGGGCUGUCCUGUUUCCAGACUUGGUUUAAUAUUCUUUUUUGGUUUCCCAUAUAUCUUCCUCUGUUGAAGUUGAACUGAUUUCUUUUAUUUGUUUUCGGCUUUGAUUUGUUUAUUCGAACUGACUUCCUUUAGUACUCCGUGGAGCUAAUUAUGUAACUUAUAUGGACAAGUUGUGUUUUGUUUGUUUUUCUUUUGUGCCUUAAUUCUCUUGAUUGGUUGUGUUGAUGAUGCUAUUUCAUUCUCAAGUGACAAGUUACUGACCUGCCUUUGUCGUAACAGGGCCUGAGCACCGGGGCAGAGAAUUUCUUUUAGGUGGUGGUAUCUUCCUCACAGCGUGCAGUGAUCACCUUCCUGUGUGUGUGUGUGUGUGUGUGUGUGUGCCCGUGUGUCUACACAGUGAAAUGCAGUCACCAGUGAGUGGUGUGGUCUGUCCUCCCUAGUUUCGGUAAGCUCCAGCCCGGGGGCCCUUGACUUUUAGAAGUGUCUUGUGUAGAUACAACAACCUUCUAGACAAUUUUAAAUGUUACUCCAUCUAAGAUUUGUCAAUAAAAAAUGUCAUUUGUCUAAUUUAGGUGGUUUAUUUCAAUUCUUUGGGUGAAAUUCCCAUAGUGGCGUAGUCGGAGUGCUAGUCCCCUUCCAUAGUGGGGAAUUUUGAUCUUUCCUGCCACCUGACCCCAUCAUCCCAACGCCACACUAGCACAUGUAGUAUAAAGCUGACGGUUUCUUUGCCACACCAGAAAACACGUAUAAGCAAUUUUCCGCCUAUUUAUGUUUUUGUUAUACAUGUACAUAUGUGCAUUUUAUUCACUUAGUGGAAUAAAAUGAAGAAGUUACCCUGAUCAAAAUGAAUGCCACUCAUUACAUUUGAUUACUUUUUGACUGCCAUUAUAUAUUUCUAAUUUUUUCAACUGUUAGUUAUUUCGAAACGUUUAAAUCAGGCCUUUUUAACCUUACAGUAUCACUCAACACUUCCUGUCAGACUUGAAUUAAGAUUGUAAUUAAGUGAUAAUGCACAUCUUUUCUUAUGUUAGUUGUUGUCACAGAACGCGGUCGUAGGAAAUACGCUCAAGAGGUCAAGUCUUGAUCCGGUCACAUUCUGCUUCAAGUGAGGCUUUAAAGAUCUGUCGUUGCUUUCAACAGUGUCGUUCUGGCGGUUUCUCCAUCUUUAAAACCUCAUGUUCUUUAUUUACUCUCUAUGAUGCACAGCUUUGUGUUUUCCCUCUAAUAAUCUCCCAGACUUGUUCUUCAUGCUGGUUUUGUACUGGUCUACUGACAUGGGUCUGUGAGCGGGAAGCAGAGGACAGCACAGAUCUGAUUGGCUCACA
Molecule: long non-coding RNA, 1771 nt
Organism: Puntigrus tetrazona (Sumatra barb)
Lineage: Eukaryota; Metazoa; Chordata; Actinopteri; Cypriniformes; Cyprinidae
Exons: 3
Source: RefSeq, a predicted model, not a curated record